UGAAGAUUGGUCCAUAGUCUUUUCAUCAACAUUGUAGAGCCUCUUGAGAACCACAUUGUGUAUGGUGGAAAUCUCCUUUCAACACCAUCAAAGCUAGGGCUUCAUCUCCUCUUUCUUCAUCAAACAUUGAGGUAAAGAUGUAGUGAUUCCGCCGAGCUGAGAGCGUGGAUAUGUUUUGAGAAGAGUAUAUUACUCUUUUAUUUUGUUGUAAAUUUUUGUAAAGCCAAGGGCUAACAUGUAUGGGUCUGGUGGAUCAUUUUGGUGUAACCAGGCUCAUGCCUUGGAACUUGUAAGCCCUUGAGGGCCUAUAUUCAUUUUGGUUUAAUGAUUUCACAUGCUAUAGAUUCAUGUGCUAGCUUCGAUGAAUGUAUAUUUGCAUGUGAGAUUACUUUUGUAUAAACACUUGGAGUUAUGUAAUAGAAUAUGGUGAUUGCGACCUUCCUGUAUC
Non-coding RNA from Camellia sinensis, 448 nucleotides. Lineage: Eukaryota; Viridiplantae; Streptophyta; Magnoliopsida; Ericales; Theaceae. The record is from RefSeq and is a predicted model, not a curated record.